GUUUACGGUCAUACCACUCUGAAUCUGCCCGAUCUUGUUUGAUCUCGGAAGCUAAGCAGAGUCGGGCCUGGUUAGUAUUUGUGAGACCACCUAGGAAUACCAGGUACUGUAGGCG
Molecule: ribosomal RNA, 115 nt
Filed under: Pteropus alecto (black flying fox)
Lineage: Eukaryota; Metazoa; Chordata; Mammalia; Chiroptera; Pteropodidae
Source: RNAcentral